RNAcentral lists this unclassified non-coding RNA (220 nucleotides) under Hevea brasiliensis (rubber tree). Lineage: Eukaryota; Viridiplantae; Streptophyta; Magnoliopsida; Malpighiales; Euphorbiaceae. The record is from RNAcentral.
UUCACACAGUCAUCAAUGUUACACAUGUCAGGAAAUGUUGUGGAUAGGGAGAAAAUUUGUAGGUCCCUUCAAACCCUUCAAAGCACAAGCCCCAGUUAUCUACUUUUGGCAUCAUUAGAUGCUGCUAGAGCUCAACUUAGUGAAAACCCUGAAACAAUUUUUCAACAAAGCAAUGAAGUUGGCUACUGAAGCAAAAAUUCUCAUUAAAAAGAUCCCAGGC